AGGACGAACGCUGGCGGCGUGCUUAACACAUGCAAGUCGAGCGCCCAGCAAUGGGAGCGGCGGACGGGUGAGUAACACGUGGGAACAUGCCUUUCGGUACGGAACAACUUCGGGAAACUGAAGCUAAUGCCGUAUACGCCCUUACGGGGAAAGAUUUAUCGCCGAAAGAUUGGCCCGCGUCUGAUUAGCUAGUUGGUGAGGUAACGGCUCACCAAGGCUUCGAUCAGUAGCUGGUUUGAGAGAACGACCAGCCACACUGGGACUGAGACACGGCCCAGACUCCUACGGGAGGCAGCAGUGGGGAAUCUUGGACAAUGGAGGAAACUCUGAUCCAGCCAUGCCGCGUGAGUGAUGAAGGCCUUCGGGUUGUAAAACUCUUUUACCCGGGAAGAUAAUGACUGUACCGGGAGAAUAAGCUCCGGCUAACUUCGUGCCAGCAGCCGC
Molecule: ribosomal RNA, 444 nt
Filed under: uncultured bacterium
Lineage: Bacteria
Description: SSU rRNA
Rfam family: Bacterial small subunit ribosomal RNA
Source: RNAcentral